RNAcentral lists this long non-coding RNA (207 nucleotides) under Panax ginseng (ginseng). RNAcentral's name for it is "long non-coding RNA (PGIN_LNC012157)". The record is from RNAcentral. Lineage: Eukaryota; Viridiplantae; Streptophyta; Magnoliopsida; Apiales; Araliaceae.
UUUCCUUAUCUUUUAUCUCAGAGUCUCAAUCACUCUCAACCCAGAUCUGAUCUAACAGAAGUCAGAUCUCAAUUUCUCAUCUCCCGUAUUAGACCGACUAGAUCCAUUCUCCCUCCUCUUCAUUUAUUCCCGAUCUCAAAUUUUCCGACAAACCAAACGAAAAGCCAUAGCUCUCCACCUAAAACUUCGAUCUUCAAUCUCCUCAAC